Molecule: ribosomal RNA, 253 nt
Filed under: uncultured bacterium
Lineage: Bacteria
Description: partial 16S ribosomal RNA
Rfam family: Bacterial small subunit ribosomal RNA
Source: RNAcentral
GACGAAGGGGGCAAGCGUUGUUCGGAAUUACUGGGCGUAAAGGGCGCGUAGGCGGUUCUUUAAGUCAGGCGUGAAAGCCCUGGGCUCAACCUGGGAGUGGCGCUUGAUACUGGAGGACUAGAGAGUGGGAGAGGUUGGUGGAAUUCCCAGUGUAGAGGUGAAAUUCGUAGAUAUUGGGAAGAACACCGGUGGCGAAGGCGGCCGACUGGACCAUUUCUGACGCUGAGGCGCGAAAGCGUGGGGAGCAAACAGG